GGGUUGUGAGGUUAAGCGACUAAGCGUACACGGUGGAUGCCCUGGCAGUCAGAGGCGAUGAAGGACGUGCUAAUCUGCGAUAAGCGUCGGUGAGGUGAUAUGAACCGUUAUAACCGGCGAUUUCCGAAUGGGGAAACCCAGUGUGUUUCGACACACUAUCAUUAACUGAAUCCAUAGGUUAAUGAGGCGAACCGGGGGAACUGAAACAUCUAAGUACCCCGAGGAAAAGAAAUCAACCGAGAUUCCCCCAGUAGCGGCGAGCGAACGGGGAGCAGCCCAGAGCCUGAAUCAGUGUGUGUGUUAGUGGAAGCGUCUGGAAAGGCGCGCGAUACAGGGUGACAGCCCCGUACACAAAAAUGCACAUACUGUGAGCUCGAUGAGUAGGGCGGGACACGUGGUAUCCUGUCUGAAUAUGGGGGGACCAUCCUCCAAGGCUAAAUACUCCUGACUGACCGAUAGUGAACCAGUACCGUGAGGGAAAGGCGAAAAGAACCCCGGCGAGGGGAGUGAAAAAGAACCUGAAACCGUGUACGUACAAGCAGUGGGAGCCUCUUUUAUGGGGUGACUGCGUACCUUUUGUAUAAUGGGUCAGCGACUUAUAUUCUGUAGCAAGGUUAACCGAAUAGGGGAGCCGAAGGGAAACCGAGUCUUAACUGGGCGUUAAGUUGCAGGGUAUAGACCCGAAACCCGGUGAUCUAGCCAUGGGCAGGUUGAAGGUUGGGUAACACUAACUGGAGGACCGAACCGACUAAUGUUGAAAAAUUAGCGGAUGACUUGUGGCUGGGGGUGAAAGGCCAAUCAAACCGGGAGAUAGCUGGUUCUCCCCGAAAGCUAUUUAGGUAGCGCCUCGUGAAUUCAUCUCCGGGGGUAGAGCACUGUUUCGGCAAGGGGGUCAUCCCGACUUACCAACCCGAUGCAAACUGCGAAUACCGGAGAAUGUUAUCACGGGAGACACACGGCGGGUGCUAACGUCCGUCGUGAAGAGGGAAACAACCCAGACCGCCAGCUAAGGUCCCAAAGUCAUGGUUAAGUGGGAAACGAUGUGGGAAGGCCCAGACAGCCAGGAUGUUGGCUUAGAAGCAGCCAUCAUUUAAAGAAAGCGUAAUAGCUCACUGGUCGAGUCGGCCUGCGCGGAAGAUGUAACGGGGCUAAACCAUGCACCGAAGCUGCGGCAGCGACACUGUGUGUUGUUGGGUAGGGGAGCGUUCUGUAAGCCUGUGAAGGUGUGCUGUGAGGCAUGCUGGAGGUAUCAGAAGUGCGAAUGCUGACAUAAGUAACGAUAAAGCGGGUGAAAAGCCCGCUCGCCGGAAGACCAAGGGUUCCUGUCCAACGUUAAUCGGGGCAGGGUGAGUCGACCCCUAAGGCGAGGCCGAAAGGCGUAGUCGAUGGGAAACAGGUUAAUAUUCCUGUACUUGGUGUUACUGCGAAGGGGGGACGGAGAAGGCUAUGUUGGCCGGGCGACGGUUGUCCCGGUUUAAGCGUGUAGGCUGAUUUUCCAGGCAAAUCCGGAAAACUAAGGCUGAGGCGUGAUGACGAGGCACUACGGUGCUGAAGCAACAAAUGCCCUGCUUCCAGGAAAAGCCUCUAAGCAUCAGGUAACAUCAAAUCGUACCCCAAACCGACACAGGUGGUCAGGUAGAGAAUACCAAGGCGCUUGAGAGAACUCGGGUGAAGGAACUAGGCAAAAUGGUGCCGUAACUUCGGGAGAAGGCACGCUGAUAUGUAGGUGAAGUCCCUCGCGGAUGGAGCUGAAAUCAGUCGAAGAUACCAGCUGGCUGCAACUGUUUAUUAAAAACACAGCACUGUGCAAACACGAAAGUGGACGUAUACGGUGUGACGCCUGCCCGGUGCCGGAAGGUUAAUUGAUGGGGUUAGCGGUAACGCGAAGCUCUUGAUCGAAGCCCCGGUAAACGGCGGCCGUAACUAUAACGGUCCUAAGGUAGCGAAAUUCCUUGUCGGGUAAGUUCCGACCUGCACGAAUGGCGUAAUGAUGGCCAGGCUGUCUCCACCCGAGACUCAGUGAAAUUGAACUCGCUGUGAAGAUGCAGUGUACCCGCGGCAAGACGGAAAGACCCCGUGAACCUUUACUAUAGCUUGACACUGAACAUUGAGCCUUGAUGUGUAGGAUAGGUGGGAGGCUUUGAAGUGUGGACGCCAGUCUGCAUGGAGCCGGCCUUGAAAUACCACCCUUUAAUGUUUGAUGUUCUAACGUUGGCCCCUGACCGGGGUUGCGGACAGUGUCUGGUGGGUAGUUUGACUGGGGCGGUCUCCUCCUAAAGAGUAACGGAGGAGCACGAAGGUUGGCUAAUCCUGGUCGGACAUCAGGAGGUUAGUGCAAUGGCAUAAGCCAGCUUGACUGCGAGCGUGACGGCGCGAGCAGGUGCGAAAGCAGGUCAUAGUGAUCCGGUGGUUCUGAAUGGAAGGGCCAUCGCUCAACGGAUAAAAGGUACUCCGGGGAUAACAGGCUGAUACCGCCCAAGAGUUCAUAUCGACGGCGGUGUUUGGCACCUCGAUGUCGGCUCAUCACAUCCUGGGGCUGAAGUAGGUCCCAAGGGUAUGGCUGUUCGCCAUUUAAAGUGGUACGCGAGCUGGGUUUAGAACGUCGUGAGACAGUUCGGUCCCUAUCUGCCGUGGGCGCUGGAGAACUGAGGGGGGCUGCUCCUAGUACGAGAGGACCGGAGUGGACGCAUCACUGGUGUUCGGGUUGUCAUGCCAAUGGCACUGCCCGGUAGCUAAAUGCGGAAGAGAUAAGUGCUGAAAGCAUCUAAGCACGAAACUUGCCCCGAGAUGAGUUCUCCCUGACUCCUUGAGGGUCCUGAAGGAACGUUGAAGACGACGACGUUGAUAGGCCGGGUGUGUAAGCGCAGCGAUGCGUUGAGCUAACCGGUACUAAUGAACCGUGAGGCUUAACCUUACAACGCCGAAG
Molecule: ribosomal RNA, 2926 nt
Filed under: Escherichia coli
Lineage: Bacteria; Pseudomonadati; Pseudomonadota; Gammaproteobacteria; Enterobacterales; Enterobacteriaceae
Description: bacterial LSU rRNA
Rfam family: Bacterial large subunit ribosomal RNA
Source: RNAcentral